AUGAACGCUGGCGGCGUGCCUAAUACAUGCAAGUCGAGCGAACAGACGAGGAGCUUGCUCCUCUGACGUUAGCGGCGGACGGGUGAGUAACACGUGGAUAACCUACCUAUAAGACUGGGAUAACUUCGGGAAACCGGAGCUAAUACCGGAUAAUAUAUUGAACCGCAUGGUUCAAUAGUGAGAGACGGUUUUGCUGUCACUUAUAGAUGGAUCCGCGCCGCAUUAGCUAGUUGGUAAGGUAACGGCUUACCAAGGCGACGAUGCGUAGCCGACCUGAGAGGGUGAUCGGCCACACUGGAACUGAGACACGGUCCAGACUCCUACGGGAGGCAGCAGUAGGGAAUCUUCCGCAAUGGGCGAAAGCCUGACGGAGCAACGCCGCGUGAGUGAUGAAGGUCUUCGGAUCGUAAAACUCUGUUAUUAGGGAAGAACAAAUGUGUAAGUAACUAUGCACGUCUUGACGGUACCUAAUCAGAAAGCCACGGCUAACUACGUG
RNAcentral lists this ribosomal RNA (496 nucleotides) under uncultured bacterium. RNAcentral's name for it is "partial 16S ribosomal RNA". It matches the Rfam family "Bacterial small subunit ribosomal RNA", at positions 29 to 507 of the family's 1533-position model. The record is from RNAcentral.